UAUAAUGGAAGGGCAUGAAAUGAACCUCAAUCUUAUGGUAGCAUGUUUCAUUAUAUGCAUGUUGCAGCUCAUGCUAUAGGAGAAAUUCCAUAGGUAUUUCUGAAGACAAUGACCUACAACAAGAUGCCAGCAUAGAAUGAGCCACUAACAUUUUUGCAAUCACUGGUGGACUUACAUCAAGGGCCAAUGAUAUGUUGCCCUAUGUUUUUCUGAUCUUAGGUUGCCUUUCCUCUUUGGAAGUUCCUAGUUUGUGGUAAAAACCAAAAAUUUAGGUUCUUUACCAUUCAUUUUCCCAAUGCCCUAAAACCUGGAAUCAGGUUCUGAAUCAUCCACCCACUGUAUCAGGAGAGGGGGGGGGGGAGAGGAAGCACAAAGGAAGGAUAGAAAAAACAGCUAGAGAUAUAGAUCAAAGUUUCUACCAUCGAAAUCAUCAAAAGAAUAACUUUUGAUACAAACAUCCCUCAUAAAUCAUAAAUUAGGGAGGCUCUGCACAUAUUCGGGAUUCCAGGAGGGAAUCAGCCUGGUAACCAUCCCAAUCUGCUCUAGAUGGGAGAUUAGCAAAUCCAUAUCAGUAAUUUUUUCAAAGCCCUUAUCUUCCAUUGAAUGAGGAAGCCAAAUUUCUCCAUCAGCAAACAACCCCACACGAGCCCCCAUCUAUAGCAUGCCCCUUCUGCCAUCUAUAAUGUGCCCCUUCUGUUGGUUAAACACGGCAGCCUAAACUGAUAAAACCAGAACUUACAAGGAAGCUGACGUGUCUCACCCAUGUUAAAGCUACAUAUAUAAAAAAGAAACAACUAGAGAGCUCCCACGAAAUGAUUCAGCUAGACCAACAUCUCAGCUUUGACCAAAUGCCCCUCCCUUGUCAGUGUAGUUCCCAUUGUGUGGGAGCCAAACGGCCAAGAGUCAGAACUCAGAACCUUUGGAAGAAGAAACCAAAGCUAUGAGAAAGAGAGAGAGGGAGGAGGGGUGGGGGGUGUGGGGCAGAGGACAAAAGAACUGCCAAUCCUUUACAUUUCUGGAAUUAAGCUUAAGAAGGGCCCUAUAUCAAUAAAACCACCAAAACUGCCUAAGCUCCUCCGAGUUGACUAUGGCAGAAAGAGAAGCACCAUAAAUGUCAACAAUAUAUUCAUUAUAUUCUAGCCAAUGAGAGCUUGAAUCCUCUCAAGACAAUAAAACCAAGCCCAACAAUAUGGCAUCUCCUUAAUCAACGAGCAUACCUACACUCCCUCCAUUUCAAGUUUCUACCCCUUCUCCCACUAUACUAAAAACCGCAUAAUCAGAAUGUUGCUCCCCUUUUAUAGGUUCCUUCCACAUCCUAUUUAGAAUUCAAGGUCUCUAAUCUAUGCAAUGCUCCCAUGCUUUCUUCUGGUUUCAGAUUCACCCUUUUCUCCAUCCAUAGCAGCCGCACCAGUGGUAAGGAUAGAUGCCUAUCCCAAAUACACCUUGCCCUGACAAGCUCUUUCAGGACCCAAACUCGCAGGGUAUUCUGAAGAACUUCUAAUAAAGCCAUUUUCAAGAAAACGUCUAAUAGGAAGGCCUCACAAAGCAGAAAGAUUUUUAAAAUGCCAGCCACCCCAUCCAUUUAGCACCAUCCAUCCAUUAUCUCUCAAUCAGCAUCCCUUUAACCUUAUUAAUAAUUUCCUUCUCUUCCCCACUUAAAAAUGCCCCCUCUUAUGUUCAACUGAGAUGCAUUUUGCAUUAACAUCAUUCCCC
Molecule: long non-coding RNA, 1713 nt
Filed under: Amborella trichopoda
Lineage: Eukaryota; Viridiplantae; Streptophyta; Magnoliopsida; Amborellales; Amborellaceae
Description: long non-coding RNA (ATRI_LNC001422)
Source: RNAcentral